CCUACGGGCGGCAGCAGUGAGGAAUAUUGCGCAAUGGACGGAAGUCUGAACCAGCCAUGCCGCGUGCAUGAAGAAGGCUCUCGGAGUUUAAAACUCUUUUUGUACAAGGGUAAACCUGAAUACGUGUAUUCAGCUGAAAGUACUGUACGAAUACGGAACGGCGAACUCCGUGCCAGCAGCCGCGGGAAUACGGAGGAUCCAAGCGUUAUCCGGAUGUAUUGGGUUUAACGGGUGAGUAGGCGGAUUGGUAAGUUAGAGGUGAAAUGUCCGAGCUUAACUCGGGAACUGCCUCUAAUACUGUUGAUCUAGAGAGUAGAUGAGGUAGGUAGAAUGUAUGGUGUAGCGGUGAAAUGCUUAGAGAUAAUACAGAACACCGAUGGCGAAGGCAGCUUACCAAUCUAUAACUGACGUUGAGGCACGAAAGCGUGGGGAGCAAACAGGAUUAGAUACCCUUGUAGUC
This 460-nucleotide ribosomal RNA is filed under the name uncultured bacterium. Its description in RNAcentral is "partial 16S ribosomal RNA". It matches the Rfam family "Bacterial small subunit ribosomal RNA", at positions 338 to 795 of the family's 1533-position model. The record is from RNAcentral.